ACGACACGCCGCGUGAGGGAUGAAGGCUCUGGGCUGUAAACCUCUUUUCUCAAGGAAGAAGAUCUNACGGUACUUGAGGAAUAAGCCACGGCUAAUUCCGUGCCAGCAGCCGCGGUAAUACGGGAGUGGCAAGCGUUAUCCGGAAUUAUUGGGCGUAAAGCGUCCGCAGGCGGCCUUACAAGUCUGUCGUUAAAGCGUGGAGCUUAACUCCAUUUAAGCGAUGGAAACUGUAAGGCUAGAGUGUGGUAGGGGCAGAGGGAAUUCCCGGUGUAGCGGUGAAAUGCGUAGAUAUCGGGAAGAACACCAGUGGCGAAGGCGCUCUGCUGGGCCAUAACUGACGCUCAUGGACGAAAGCCAGGGGAGCGAAAGGGAUUAGAUACCCCUGUAGUCCUGGCCGUAAACGAUGAACACUAGGUGUCGGGGGAAUCGACCCCCCCGGUGUCGUAGCCAACGCGUUAAGUGUUCCGCCUGGGGAGUACGCACGCAAGUGUGAAACUCAGAGGAAUUGACGGGGGCCCGCACAAGCGGUGGAGUAUGUGGUUUAAUUCGAUGCAACGCGAAGAACCUUACCAGGGCUUGACAUCCUGCGAAUCCCUUGGAAACGAGGGAGCG
This 612-nucleotide ribosomal RNA is filed under the name uncultured bacterium. Its description in RNAcentral is "bacterial SSU rRNA". It matches the Rfam family "Bacterial small subunit ribosomal RNA", at positions 389 to 1016 of the family's 1533-position model. The record is from RNAcentral.